RNAcentral lists this ribosomal RNA (207 nucleotides) under Triticum aestivum (bread wheat). RNAcentral describes it as "partial small subunit ribosomal RNA". The record is from RNAcentral. Lineage: Eukaryota; Viridiplantae; Streptophyta; Magnoliopsida; Poales; Poaceae.
AUGAUUUUGAGUAUAAAUUUCUUGGUAAAAAAACCUUUGCCCAAUUUUGAAUUGUCAAGACAAGAGCUUUAUGUAAGAGUAGAAGCCCCAAAAGGUGAAUUAGGGAUUUAUCUAGUAGGAGAUGAUAGCCUUUUCCCCUGGAGAUGGAAUAUCCAUUCACCCGGGUUUAUUAAUUUGCAAAUUCUUCCUCGGCUAGUUAAAAAAUGA